UCACUUCCUGUUGUGUGGCCCAGACAGGGCACUGUCUGUGGCCCCAGGGGUUGAGGACCCCUGGCUUUAACAACAGAAAGACCCCAGUUACUGGAUUGGGAUCCACCCUCACUCAAUAUGGCCUCAGCUUAAUGAAAGACAUCUGCAGAGACCCUAUUUCUACUAAAAGCCACAUUCUGAGACUUCUCGUGGGCGUGAGUUUUUGAGAGACACUGUUCUGCUCCAUGCAGGGAGGGAAUUGGGAUCUGAAGACGUUGCAUUCGAGGUCUCGGGGCUCCUGAUGAGCAGCCUCGGCCUGACCUGGGGCAGGUGUGAUGUCUGCGGCUCACCAUCUCCACCCUGCCUGCUGUGGAAUCUCCACAACGACAGGUGCUUUGGAGGCCAGAGUGCAUGCGUACGGGCCCUGCACACGCUGAAUGUCACUGGGAACAAGGACACACCCCGCUUCCAGGAGAAGAUAGAACAUGUCGACCCCUUUUACCAUAUGACACAUUAUCAGACCAAACCAGAGCUCUUGGUUUUCGGAUCUGGGGAUGAAUUCUUUAGCACAGAUGGAACCAUGAACUUCUAUGAUCAACUGCCAGGAAGGAAAUACCUCAGAGCCAUCCCCAGUGCAGGACAUGCUAUUGACUUCCAUGAGACAAACACCUACUUGGAAAUCAGGUUUUUUCUGUACCUUUUGAAGGAGCAGGAAUUUCCCAGCAUUUCCUGGACAAAGACGGAGGCCACAUUCGCUGCAUCCUUUCCAGCAAGAUGUCAUUCUGAGAUUUUUGUCAUUCCUGGGCGUUAUGAGGACUGCCAAGGGACACAAUUCCAUGGGAGGAAAGUUUUCUUCUAAGCUGCAAGCCAGCUCUGGCUUCUGGAGUUUCUCCUUAGGAUUGCAAGACAGUAGUUCCCUGUCCUUUAGGUCUUCUCCAGAAAUACCUUAAAAUAGCAAAUAAAAUAAGAUAUAAGCAAACAAAACCUGAA
This 969-nucleotide long non-coding RNA is filed under the name Homo sapiens (human). Its description in RNAcentral is "S-phase cancer associated transcript 1". Lineage: Eukaryota; Metazoa; Chordata; Mammalia; Primates; Hominidae. The record is from RNAcentral.